RNAcentral lists this ribosomal RNA (839 nucleotides) under uncultured bacterium. RNAcentral's name for it is "bacterial SSU rRNA". It matches the Rfam family "Bacterial small subunit ribosomal RNA", at positions 544 to 1397 of the family's 1533-position model. The record is from RNAcentral.
UCCGGAUUUACUGGGUGUAAAGGGAGCGUAGACGGAAGGUCAAGUCAGGUGUGAAAGGCUGGGCUCAACCCGUGGACUGCACUUGAAACUGGUCAUCUCGAGUGUCGGAGGGGCAGGCGAAUUCCUGGUGUAGCGGUGAAAUGCGUAGAUAUCAGGAAGAACACCGGUGGCGAAGGCGGCUGCUGGACGAUCACUGACGUUGAGGCUCGAAGGCGUGGGGAGCAAACAGGAUUAGAUACCUGGUAGUCCACGCAGUAAACGAUGAAUACCAGGUGCUGGGUCCCACAGGGGUUCGGUGCGGCGCUAACGCAUUAAGUAUUCCACCUGGGGAGUACGUUCGCAAGAAUGAAACUCAAAGGAUUGACGGGGACCCGCACAAGCGGUGGAGCAUGUGGUUUAAUUCGAAGCAACGCGAAGAACUUACCAAGUCUUGACAUCCCCCUGACAGCUGCAGAGAUGCAGCCUCUCUUCGGAGCAGGGAGACAGGUGGUGCAUGGUUGUCGUCAGCUCGUGUCGUGAGAUGUUGGGUUAAGUCCCGCACGAGCGCAACCCUUAUGCUUAGUAGCCAGCGGCCAGGCCGGGCACUCUAGGCAGACUGCAGGAAUAACCUGGAGGAAGGCGGGGAUGACGUCAAAUCAUCAUGCCCCUUAUGACUUGGGUACACACGUGCUACAAUGGCGCUGACAGAGGGAGGCAAACCCGCGAGGGGGAGCGAAUCCGAAACAGCGUCCCAGUUCGGACUGUAGUCUGCAACCCGACUAUACGAAGCUGGAAUCGCUGUAAUCGCAGAUCAGAAUGCUGCGGUGAAUACGUUCCCGGGUCUUGCACACACCGCCCGU